CCGUAACUAUAACGGUCCUAAGGUAGCGAAAUUCCUUGUCGGGUAAGUUCCGACCCGCACGAAAGGCGUAAUGAUUUGAGCGCUGUCUCGACAAUGCACCCGGUGAAAUUGAAAUACCAGUGAAGAUGCUGGUUACCUGCGCCAGGACGGAAAGACCCCAUGGAGCUUUACUCCAGUCUGGUACUGGGACUCGGUAUUGCAUGUACAGGAUAGGUGGGAGGCUAGGAGAUGGUAACGCCAGUUGCCAUGGAGCCGCUGUUGGGAUACCACCCUUGCAGUAUUGGAUUUCUAACCAGCAGCCGUGACCCGGCUGGGGGACAAUGUCAGGUGGGGAGUUUGACUGGGGCGGUCGCCUCCGAAAGGGUAUCGGAGGCGCUCAAAGGUUCCCUCAGAAUGGUUGGAAACCAUUCGAAGAGUGCAAAGGCAGAAGGGAGCUUGACUGCGACACCGACGGGUGGAGCAGGUACGAAAGUAGGACUUAGUGAUCCGGUGGUAUAAAGUGGGAUUGCCAUCGCUCAACGGAUAAAAGCUACCCUGGGGAUAACAGGCUUAUCACUCCCAAGAGUUCACAUCGACGGAGUGGUUUGGCACCUCGAUGUCGGCUCAUCGCAUCCUGGGGCUGUAGUAGGUCCCAAGGGUUGGGCUGUUCGCCCAUUAAAGCGGUACGCGAGCUGGGUUCAGAACGUCGUGAGACAGUUCGGUCCCUAUCCGGCGUGGGCGUAGGAUAUUUGAGAGGAGCUGUCCUUAGUACGAGAGGACCGGGAUGGACGGGCCGCUGGUGUACCUGUUGGAGUGCCAACUCCAUGGCAGGGUAGCCAAGCCCGGACGGGAUAAACGCUGAAGGCAUCUAAGCGUGAAGCCCCCCUCAAGAUGAGAUAUCCCAUAGAGUUAAUCUAGUAAGACCCCUUGAAGACGACGAGGUAGAUAGGCAGAAGGUGGAAGUGUGGUGACAUAUGGAGCUGAUCUGUACUAAUAGGUCGAGGGCUUAACCGA
RNAcentral lists this ribosomal RNA (993 nucleotides) under human gut metagenome. RNAcentral's name for it is "bacterial LSU rRNA". It matches the Rfam family "Bacterial large subunit ribosomal RNA", at positions 1934 to 2925 of the family's 2925-position model. The record is from RNAcentral.